RNAcentral lists this ribosomal RNA (253 nucleotides) under uncultured bacterium. RNAcentral's name for it is "partial 16S ribosomal RNA". It matches the Rfam family "Bacterial small subunit ribosomal RNA", at positions 524 to 776 of the family's 1533-position model. The record is from RNAcentral.
UACGUAGGGUGCGAGCGUUAAUCGGAAUUACUGGGCGUAAAGCGUGCGCAGGCGGUUGUGCAAGACAGAUGUGAAAUCCCCGGGCUCAACCUGGGAACUGCAUUUGCGACUGCACGGCUGGAGUGCGGCAGAGGGGGAUGGAAUUCCGCGUGUAGCAGUGAAAUGCGUAGAUAUGCGGAGGAGCACCGAUGGCGAAGGCAAUCCCCUGGGCCUGCACUGACGCUCAUGCACGAAAGCGUGGGGAGCAAACAGG